Molecule: non-coding RNA, 19 nt
Filed under: Mus musculus (house mouse)
Lineage: Eukaryota; Metazoa; Chordata; Mammalia; Rodentia; Muridae
Source: RNAcentral
AGAAGGCAGCCUUCUGGGA